UUGAUCCUGGCUCAGAGUGAACGCUGGCGGUAGGCCUAACACAUGCAAGUCGAACGGCAGCACAGGAGAGCUUGCUCUCUGGGUGGCGAGUGGCGGACGGGUGAGGAAUACAUCGGAAUCUACUUUUUCGUGGGGGAUAACGUAGGGAAACUUACGCUAAUACCGCAUACGACCUACGGGUGAAAGCAGGGGAUCUUCGGACCUUGCGCGAUUGAAUGAGCCGAUGUCGGAUUAGCUAGUUGGCGGGGUAAAGGCCCACCAAGGCGACGAUCCGUAGCUGGUCUGAGAGGAUGAUCAGCCACACUGGAACUGAGACACGGUCCAGACUCCUACGGGAGGCAGCAGUGGGGAAUAUUGGACAAUGGGCGCAAGCCUGAUCCAGCCAUACCGCGUGGGUGAAGAAGGCCUUCGGGUUGUAAAGCCCUUUUGUUGGGAAAGAAAUCCAGCUGGCUAAUACCCGGUUGGGAUGACGGUACCCAAAGAAUAAGCACCGGCUAACUUCGUGCCAGCAGCCGCGGUAAUACGAAGGGUGCAAGCGUUACUCGGAAUUACUGGGCGUUAAGCGUGCGUAGGUGGUCGUUUAAAGUCCGUUGUGAAACGCCCUGGGGCUCAACCUUGGGGAACUGCGUGGAUACUGGGC
This 640-nucleotide ribosomal RNA is filed under the name uncultured bacterium. RNAcentral describes it as "bacterial SSU rRNA". It matches the Rfam family "Bacterial small subunit ribosomal RNA", at positions 13 to 638 of the family's 1533-position model. The record is from RNAcentral.